UCCGUAGGUGAACCUGCGGAGGGAUCAUUACACAAAUAUGAAGGCGGGCUGGAACCUCUCGGGGUUACAGCCUUGCUGAAUUAUUCACCCUUGUCUUUUGCGUACUUCUUGUUUCCUUGGUGGGUUCGCCCACCACUAGGACAAACAUAAACCUUUUGUAAUUGCAAUCAGCGUCGGUAACAAAUUAAUAAUUACAACUUUCAACAACGGAUCUCUUGGUUCUGGCAUCGAUGAAGAACGCAGCGAAAUGCGAUAAGUAGUGUGAAUUGCAGAAUUCAGUGAAUCAUCGAAUCUUUGAACGCACAUUGCGCCCUUUGGUAUUCCAAAGGGCAUGCCUGUUCGAGCGUCAUUUGUACCCUCAAGCUUUGCUUGGUGUUGGGCGUCUUGUCUCUAGCUUUGCUGGAGACUCGCCUUAAAGUAAUUGGCAGCCGGCCUACUGGUUUCGGAGCGCAGCACAAGUCGCACUCUCUAUCAGCAAAGGUCUAGCAUCCAUUAAGCCUUUUUUCAACUUUGACCUCGGAUCAGGUAGA
This 530-nucleotide ribosomal RNA is filed under the name Alternaria alternata. RNAcentral describes it as "eukaryotic LSU rRNA". The stretch from base 196 to 349 matches the Rfam family "5.8S ribosomal RNA". Lineage: Eukaryota; Fungi; Ascomycota; Dothideomycetes; Pleosporales; Pleosporaceae. The record is from RNAcentral.